GAAGCGGCAACAGCUCAAAUUUGAAAUCUGGCGCAAGCCCGAGUUGUAAUUUGUAGAGGAUGCUUCUGGGCAGCGGCCGGGCUAAGUUCCUUGGAACAGGACGUCAUAGAGGGUGAGAAUCCCGUAUGCGCCCGGCUGGCACCCGUCACGUAGCUCCUUCGACGAGUCGAGUUGUUUGGGAAUGCAGCUCUAAAUGGGAGGUAAAUUUCUUCUAAGGCUAAAUAUCGGCCAGAGACCGAUAGCGCACAAGUAGAGUGAUCGAAAGAUGAAAAGCACUUUGGAAAGAGAGUUAAAAAGCACGUGAAAUUGUUGAAAGGGAAGCGCAUGCAACCAGACUUGUCGGCGGUGUUCCGCCGGUCUUCUGACCGGUCUACUCGCCGCCGGCAGGCCAGCAUCAUCUGGGCGCGCCGGAUAAAGGCGUGCGGAAUGUAGCCCCUCGGGGUGUUAUAGCCGCGCGCACAAUACGGCGCCGCCCGGGUGAGGUCCGCGCUUCGGCUAGGAUGCUGGCGUAAUGGUCGCUUGCGGCCCGUCUUGAAACACGGACCAAGGAGUCUAACAUCUAUGCGAGUGUUCGGGUGUCAAACCCCUACGCGGAAUGAAAGUGAACGGAGGUAGGAACCCGCAAGGGUGCACUAUCGACCGAUCCUGAUGUCUUCGGAUGGAUUUGAGUAAGAGCAUAGCUGUUGGGACCCGAAAGAUGGUGAACUAUGCCUGAAUAGGGUGAAGCCAGAGGAAACUCUGGUGGA
This 746-nucleotide ribosomal RNA is filed under the name Stenella araguata. Its description in RNAcentral is "eukaryotic LSU rRNA". It matches the Rfam family "Eukaryotic large subunit ribosomal RNA", at positions 95 to 871 of the family's 3401-position model. The record is from RNAcentral. Lineage: Eukaryota; Fungi; Ascomycota; Dothideomycetes; Mycosphaerellales; Teratosphaeriaceae.